GAGGGCAUAGGUCAGUGGUAGAGCACAUGCUUAGCAUGCAUUAGGUCCUGGGUUCAAUCCCCAGUACCACCA
RNAcentral lists this transfer RNA (72 nucleotides) under Camelus bactrianus (Bactrian camel). It matches the Rfam family "tRNA". From Rfam's summary of the family: Transfer RNA (tRNA) molecules are approximately 80 nucleotides in length. Their secondary structure includes four short double-helical elements and three loops (D, anti-codon, and T loops). Further hydrogen bonds mediate the characteristic L-shaped molecular structure. tRNAs have two regions of fundamental functional importance: the anti-codon, which is responsible for specific mRNA codon recognition, and the 3' end, to which the tRNAs corresponding amino acid is attached (by aminoacyl-tRNA synthetases). tRNAs cope with the degeneracy of the genetic code in two manners: having more than one tRNA (with a specific anti-codon) for a particular amino acid; and 'wobble' base-pairing, i.e. permitting non-standard base-pairing at the 3rd anti-codon position. The record is from Rfam by way of RNAcentral. Lineage: Eukaryota; Metazoa; Chordata; Mammalia; Artiodactyla; Camelidae. RNAcentral also lists the same sequence under 2 other names.